CACUUAUUAUUGCUGAAUUCUCUAUCUGUUUGAAAAAGUAGAGGAACGGGGGAUAUACAUUUGGGGUUAAUUCCGGUGAUACCGGAAAGGGAUUUCUUCCACCUAACCCGUCAACUAACCUCGUAAGCAUUAAGGAGGAAUUAG
Molecule: small RNA, 144 nt
Filed under: Acetivibrio clariflavus
Lineage: Bacteria; Bacillati; Bacillota; Clostridia; Acetivibrionales; Acetivibrionaceae
Also listed under: 1 other name
Description: Clostridium clariflavum c-di-AMP sequence
Rfam family: c-di-AMP riboswitch aptamer (ydaO/yuaA leader)
About the family: This family represents a conserved RNA structure found upstream of the ydaO and yuaA genes in Bacillus subtilis and related genes in other bacteria. The ydaO/yuaA element is thought to act as a genetic "off" switch for the ydaO and yuaA genes in its native state. It is believed that the element may be triggered during osmotic shock leading to activation of ydaO, a predicted amino acid transporter gene, and members of the yuaA-yubG operon which code for KtrA and KtrB K+ transporters.
Source: RNAcentral